RNAcentral lists this ribosomal RNA (773 nucleotides) under uncultured bacterium. RNAcentral's name for it is "bacterial SSU rRNA". It matches the Rfam family "Bacterial small subunit ribosomal RNA", at positions 8 to 796 of the family's 1533-position model. The record is from RNAcentral.
AGAGUUUGAUCAUGGCUCAGGACGAACGCUGGCGGCGUGCUUAACACAUGCAAGUCGAGCGGAAAGGCCCUUCGGGGUACUCGAGCGGCGAACGGGUGAGUAACACGUGAGUAACCUGCCCCAGACUUUGGGAUAACCCUCGGAAACAGGGGCUAAUACCGGAUAUUACUUCGCAUCGCAUGGUGCUUGGUGGAAAGUUUUUCGGUUUGGGAUGGACUCGCGGCCUAUCAGCUUGUUGGUGAGGUAAUGGCUCACCCAAGGCGAGGACGGGGUAGCCGGCCUGAGAGGGCGACCGGCCACACUGGGACUGAGACACGGCCCAGACUCCUACGGGAGGCAGCAGUGGGGAAUAUUGCACAAUGGGCGGGAAGCCUGAUGCAGCGACGCCGCGUGAGGGAUGACGGCCUUCGGGUUGUAAACCUCUUUCAGCAGGGACGAAGCGCAAGUGACGGUACCUGCAGAAGAAGCGCCGGCCAACUACGUGCCAGCAGCCGCGGUAAGACGUAGGGCGCGAGCGUUGUCCGGAUUUAUUGGGCGUAAAGAGCUCGUAGGCGGCUUGUCGCGUCGACUGUGAAAACUUGGGGCUCAACUCCAAGCUUGCAGUCGAUACGGGCAGGCUAGAGUUCGGUAGGGGAGACUGGAAUUCCUGGUGUAGCGGUGAAAUGCGCAGAUAUCAGGAGGAACACCGGUGGCGAAGGCGGGUCUCUGGGCCGAUACUGACGCUGAGGAGCGAAAGCGUGGGGAGCGAACAGGAUUAGAUACCCUAGUAGUCC